RNAcentral lists this long non-coding RNA (672 nucleotides) under Panax ginseng (ginseng). Its description in RNAcentral is "long non-coding RNA (PGIN_LNC015828)". Lineage: Eukaryota; Viridiplantae; Streptophyta; Magnoliopsida; Apiales; Araliaceae. The record is from RNAcentral.
CUCAACUUCACAAUCCAACAUCAUAAGUUCCAGAUCUAUAAUGGUAAAUCAAAGACGAGAGAACGAGAUUUAAGUUAGAUAAGUAAAAAGAUUUGGGGGAAAAGAAAACAACCAAUCUAUUCAUUAUCCCCAUCUCCCAUGGUCAUCCCCAUUCGUUGCUAACCCUUUAUCUCAAUUCUCAACCAUCGGCCAUCACCGAACGAUUAAUCAUUUUCAACUUUGAGAAGCCUCUAACCAAACCGUCCACCACCGCCACUAGAUCACCACCAUAUAUACCUUACACCACCACCGCCGCCGCAGUCGAUCAUUAUCAAACACAAACAGACAAUUGAAUAAAACAAAACAAAAAACGAAAACUUUAUGAUAUUCCCAUCGAUCGUCAACGACUUUGGAAAUUCCAAAUCUGAAAAUAGCACUCUUUUUUUUCUCUAAUUGUAUUUUUAUUCAUCUGAGAGUAUAUAUGUAUAUGUAUACCCAUAUAUCAGGAGAGAGAGAAUGGAUGAUUGAAUUUGUUGUGCGCCUUGAAUUUCGAGACAAGGUUGCGGUAGAUCUGAGAUAAUCUUUGUGGGUUUUAAUAAUUUUGUGGUUGGAUCUGAGAUACUUAUUUUGAGGUGGAGGAAGUUUUCCCUUUCCUAUAUGAUUUUAUCUGGGUUUGAGAAAGAAUCAAAUCUA